UAUCAUCACCAGGCCCGCCAGUCCCGUACUCUAGUAUCCCGUCUAAUCGGUGGUGAUGGAUUGUUCCGCUUGGAAAAGGAAUGAUCACCAAGAGUGGUAAUCGGAAACUGGUUUUGACUGCCAGAAAGGCUCUACUUUGCCAGAAAAGCAUUUCCGACGUGUUAUCUGUUAAUCGAGCACAAAGAAAGGGAGCUAAAAUGGACCAGGCAGAAGAGGAUCGAACGGAAAAUCAAAAACGCGAACAGAAAAUGUGCGAACAAGAUUCUACACAAUCAGAAUUCACUUAGGUGUAAGGAGUAUCUUUGGUCCCCUGGCCAAUGUCGACCGUAAUUCUGCGAGGCCAUCAGCUGGAUGAAAAAUUAUACCUAAGUAGCUGUAACCUUUUGUAAACUUGAAGCAUUUGUGGCGGCCGAAAUUCGACUAGCACAAAAAAAACUAUCUCUGCUUGGGCCAUAUUCGGUUUUACCGGUUCAAUUAGCAUCCUGACAGGAGAACAACAACUAUUUGGAGCAGAUGAAACUGCCGAUCCAAAGGUACCAAAAAUUAGCUAAUUAACCACAACUGGAUAACGGUGGUUAUGUGUUCAUUUAACUUAUGUCGGCAAUUACUUAACAGCGCUACAUUUGAAACCUGUUUUGGUGGUCCCGCAAUCAUAAAAUGGUUGGUCGGUCAUAAGAUCCCAUCCUGCUGCUGACAGUUAAGUCUAACUACCACCGUAACUGUACUUUAGAAAUGGAACUUGCUGCCAAACACAACGUUUAAACAAUUUUUUUUAAAAUAUGUAUUAAUCAAUUUUACAAUAUUACUCAAUCUACGGAAAUAGGUUCUUGAAUGGAACCACAAGAUCAGAAUAUCUCUUGUUAACGAAACAAGAAUUUUAAACUUUCGAAGAGUUUAUCAGUAAGGCCCAAGUGAAGAAUAGGUUCUCGUGUGAACUCUUGAAGCAUGAAAACAAAUAGGAAAUUAAGGUUAUUUUUACAUAGUAUUAAAGUAAGGUAUCGCUUAUAAAACCCGAUCAAGUAAUAUGUUCAGUAAUUUUUCAGUAGACAGACCCAAAGCUAUAGCUAAGCCUCAGAGUAGUCUUUUAUUUAACAAGUAUGCAUACUGUUGUUUUAAAAAAUACUUAAUUAAUCCAGCGAUUGAAUUGUCUAAAUUGUCUAAACAA
Molecule: long non-coding RNA, 1165 nt
Organism: Uranotaenia lowii
Lineage: Eukaryota; Metazoa; Arthropoda; Insecta; Diptera; Culicidae
Exons: 3
Source: RefSeq, a predicted model, not a curated record